RNAcentral lists this ribosomal RNA (493 nucleotides) under uncultured bacterium. Its description in RNAcentral is "bacterial SSU rRNA". It matches the Rfam family "Bacterial small subunit ribosomal RNA", at positions 28 to 526 of the family's 1533-position model. The record is from RNAcentral.
GACGAACGCUGGCGGCGUGCUUAACACAUGCAAGUCGAGCGGUAAGGCCCUUUCGGGGGUACACGAGCGGCGAACGGGUGAGUAACACGUGAGUAAUCUGCCCUUCACUUCGGGAUAACCGCCGGAAACGGCGGCUAAUACCGGAUACGACGCGCUUUUGCAUGAGAUGCGCGUGGAAAGUUUUUUCGGUGGUGGAUGUGCUCGCGGCCUAUCAGCUUGUUGGUGAGGUAAUGGCUCACCAAGGCUUCGACGGGUAGCCGGCCUGAGAGGGUGACCGGCCACACUGGGACUGAGACACGGCCCAGACUCCUACGGGAGGCAGCAGUGGGGAAUAUUGGACAAUGGGCGAAAGCCUGAUCCAGCAACGCCGCGUGAGGGAUGACGGCCUUCGGGUUGUAAACCUCUUUCAGCACCGACGAAGCGCCUUUAACGGUGGUGACGGUAGGUGCAGAAGAAGGACCGGCCAACUACGUGCCAGCAGCCGCCGUAACAC